UACGGAGGGGACUAGCGUUGUUCGGAAUUACUGGGCGUAAAGCGCACGUAGGCGGAUUUGUAAGUCAGGGGUGAAAUCCCGCGGCUCAACCGCGGAUUGUCGUUGGAAACUGCCUCGCUAGAGUCCGGAAGAGGAGAGCGGAAUUCCUGGUGUAGCGGUGGAAUGCGCAGAUAUCAGGAAGAACACCCGUGGCGAAGGCGGCUCUCUGGGACGGUACUGACGCUGAGACGCGAAAGCGUGGGGAGCGAACAGG
This 253-nucleotide ribosomal RNA is filed under the name uncultured bacterium. Its description in RNAcentral is "partial 16S ribosomal RNA". It matches the Rfam family "Bacterial small subunit ribosomal RNA", at positions 524 to 776 of the family's 1533-position model. The record is from RNAcentral.